This 403-nucleotide ribosomal RNA is filed under the name Verrucomicrobiota bacterium. Its description in RNAcentral is "Verrucomicrobia bacterium partial 16S ribosomal RNA". It matches the Rfam family "Bacterial small subunit ribosomal RNA", at positions 355 to 776 of the family's 1533-position model. Lineage: Bacteria; Pseudomonadati; Verrucomicrobiota. The record is from RNAcentral.
UGGGGAAUAUUGCACAAUGGGGGAAACCCUGAUGCAGCGACGCCGCGUGAGCGAAGAAGGUUUUCGAAUCGUAAAGCCCUGUCCUAUGAGAAGAUAAUGACGGUAUCAUAGGAGGAAGCCCCGGCUAAAUACGUGCCAGCAGCCGCGGUAAUACGUAUGGGGCGAGCGUUGUCCGGAAUUAUUGGGCGUAAAGGGUACGUAGGCGGUCUAUUAAGUCAGGUGUGAAAGCGUGAGGCUUAACCUCAUUAAGCACUUGAAACUGAUAGACUUGAGUGAAGGAGAGGAAAGUGGACUUCCUGGUGUAGCGGUGAAAGGCGUAGAUAUUAGGAGGAAUACCGGUGGCGAAGGCGACUUUCUGGACUUUUACUGACACUCAGGUACGAAAGCGUGGGGAGCAAACAGG